GAUGAAGAACGUAGCGAAAUGCGAUAAGUAAUGUGAAUUGCAGAAUUCAGUGAACCAUCGAAUCUUUGAACGCACAUUGCGCCCUUUGGUAUUCCUUAGGGCAUGCCUGUUCGAGCGUCAUUUAAACCUUCAAGCUAAGCUUGGUGUUGGGUGACUGUCCGCUUCACUGCGGACUCGCCUCAAAAUUAUUGGCGGCCGGUACAUUGGCUUCGAGCGCAGCAGAAACGCGAACUCGGGCCCGUCGUAUUGGCUCCCAGAAGCUAUCUUCACAAUUUUGACCUCGGAUCAGGUAGGGAUACCCGCUGAACUUAAGCAUAUCAAUAAGCGGAGGA
RNAcentral lists this unclassified non-coding RNA (332 nucleotides) under soil metagenome. Its description in RNAcentral is "partial contains 5.8S ribosomal RNA, internal transcribed spacer 2, and large subunit ribosomal RNA". The stretch from base 1 to 120 matches the Rfam family "5.8S ribosomal RNA", at positions 35 to 154 of the family's 154-position model. The record is from RNAcentral.